AUUACGGGAGGCAGCAGUAGGGAAUCUUCCGCAAUGGACGAAAGUCUGACGGAGCAACGCCGCGUGAGUGAUGAAGGCUUUCGGGUCGUAAAACUCUGUUGUUAGGGAAGAACAAGUGCUAGUUGAAUAAGCUGGCACCUUGACGGUACCUAACCAGAAAGCCACGGCUAACUACGUGCCAGCAGCCGCGGUAAU
Molecule: ribosomal RNA, 195 nt
Filed under: Firmicutes bacterium enrichment culture clone L12
Lineage: Bacteria; Bacillati; Bacillota
Description: partial 16S ribosomal RNA
Rfam family: Bacterial small subunit ribosomal RNA
Source: RNAcentral